Molecule: ribosomal RNA, 255 nt
Filed under: uncultured bacterium
Lineage: Bacteria
Description: partial 16S ribosomal RNA
Rfam family: Bacterial small subunit ribosomal RNA
Source: RNAcentral
UACGUAGGGUGCGAGCGUUGUCCGGAAUUAUUGGGCGUAAAGAGCUCGUAGGCGGUUUGUCGCGUCUGCUGUGAAAACCUAAGGCUCAACCUUGGGCUUGCAGUGGGUACGGGCAGACUAGAGUGCGGUAGGGGAGAUUGGAAUUCCUGGUGUAGCGGUGGAAUGCGCAGAUAUCGAGGAGACACCGAUGGCGAAGGCAGAUCUCUGGGCCGUAACUGACGCUGAGGAGCGAAAAGCAUGGGGGAGCGAAACAGG